This 594-nucleotide long non-coding RNA is filed under the name Homo sapiens (human). RNAcentral describes it as "HSALNT0161771". Lineage: Eukaryota; Metazoa; Chordata; Mammalia; Primates; Hominidae. The record is from RNAcentral.
CUGCAAGUUUCUUCAAAUGGUUGCAAUGCUUACUGCAACCUCCAUCUCCUAGGCUCAAGUGAUCCUCCUGCCUCAGCCUCCCAAAGUGCUGGGAUUACAAGCAUGAGCUACUACAUCUGUCCAAAAGCUGCAUUUCCAAGACCAGGUUUUCUGCCUCCUGCUAAGCCAAUUUAUACAUUCCAAGAAAAUCUUCCAUUUCAUCCAGGUGAAACAGAACCUACUGGAAUGAAGCUGGCCUCCCGUCUCCUUGAUUUGAAGCAGCUUCUCCACAUUGGUUAUUAUGCCAUUUUUCUAAAUCUAACGUUUUAAAAUUUGUGCCUUUCCUUUCUCUUUUGCUUGACUUCCCAGAGGUUUUUUUAACCGUCUUUUCAAAGAAGUGGUUUUGGGUUUUAUUUAUCAAGUCUACUUUUAUUAUGGCUGUUUUAAAAUUAAAUAUAUUUAUUUCUUGUUUCCCUUAAAAAAGCUUCUUGUAUGUUUACUUAGUUUAUAUAAUUUUAUAUGUCUUUUGUUGAAGCAUAUUAACAAACACUUGCAGCUAUAACAUUUCCCCUGGGAACUGCUUUGGACAUAUCCAAAGAUUUUGAUAAGUCACAC